GGGCCCGCACAAGCAGUGGAGUAUGUGGUUUAAUUCGAAGCAACGCGAAGAACCUUACCAGGUCUUGACAUCUCCUGCAUACCAUAGAGAUAUGGGAAGCCCUUCGGGGCAGGAAGACAGGUGGUGCAUGGUUGUCGUCAGCUCGUGUCGUGAGAUGUUGGGUUAAGUCCCGCAACGAGCGCAACCCUUGUAUUUAGUUGCUACGCAAGAGCACUCUAAAUAGACCGCCGUUGACAAAACGGAGGAAGGUGGGGAUGACGUCAAAUCAUCAUGCCCUUUAUGACCUGGGCUACACACGUACUACAAUGGCAAUCGAACAGAGGGAAGCAAACGCGCGAGCGCAAGCGGAACCCAAAAAAUUGUCUCAGUUCGGAUUGCAGGCUGCAACCCGCCUGCAUGAAGUCGGAAUUGCUAGUAAUCGCGGAUCAGCAUGCCGCGGUGAAUACGUUCCCGGGCCUU
RNAcentral lists this ribosomal RNA (459 nucleotides) under uncultured bacterium. Its description in RNAcentral is "bacterial SSU rRNA". It matches the Rfam family "Bacterial small subunit ribosomal RNA", at positions 917 to 1382 of the family's 1533-position model. The record is from RNAcentral.